Molecule: long non-coding RNA, 196 nt
Organism: Juglans microcarpa x Juglans regia
Lineage: Eukaryota; Viridiplantae; Streptophyta; Magnoliopsida; Fagales; Juglandaceae
Exons: 5
Source: RefSeq, a predicted model, not a curated record
AUCUCCCUUUUGAUUUGUUUUUUUUCCAGCAUACAAUUCAGUGGUAGUGAGAGAUGUCUGCUUUGCGUGUUUGACCCCCUCUCCCUUUCCCACUUUCUCCUGACACCUCCAUGCCUCUUGACACCCUCACCCCUAGUCCCUUCUUGUCCCCUCUCAUUCUCUCAUAUUUUGUCUUCUAGUGAUAGCCCUCUUGAUG